GGCAACCUGGCCGAGUGGUCUAAGGCGCCAGGUUCAGGUGACUGAAUCAAUAUCCUGGUCUCUUCGGAGGCGAGAGUUCGAAUCUCUCGGUUGUCA
Molecule: transfer RNA, 96 nt
Organism: Yarrowia lipolytica
Lineage: Eukaryota; Fungi; Ascomycota; Dipodascomycetes; Dipodascales
Rfam family: tRNA
About the family: Transfer RNA (tRNA) molecules are approximately 80 nucleotides in length. Their secondary structure includes four short double-helical elements and three loops (D, anti-codon, and T loops).
Source: Rfam